RNAcentral lists this ribosomal RNA (253 nucleotides) under uncultured bacterium. RNAcentral describes it as "partial 16S ribosomal RNA". It matches the Rfam family "Bacterial small subunit ribosomal RNA", at positions 524 to 776 of the family's 1533-position model. The record is from RNAcentral.
UACGUAGGGACCAAGCGUUGUUCGGAUUUACUGGGCGUAAAGGGCGCGUAGGCGGCUUAACAAGUCACUUGUGAAAUCUCCGGGCUUAACUCGGAACGGCCAAGUGAAACUGUCAAGCUAGAGUGCAGAAGGGGCAAUCGGAAUUCUUGGUGUAGCGGUGAAAUGCGUAGAUAUCUGGAGGAAUACCGGUGGCGAAGGCGGCAUCCUGGACCGGCAUUGACGCUGAUGAGCGAAAGCUAGGGGAGCAAACGGG